AAGUCGUAACAAGGUUUCCGUAGGUGAACCUGCGGAAGGAUCAUUAUCGUGUUUUUUUCUGGUCUUCGCAAGAAGAUUUCAGAAACAAACGUAUUCACUCAAUCGUGAACUUGUUCCUUUGAGGAGAGAUGAGGUCUCUCGUCUUUUUCUCAAAUUAAUAUUUUUUUACAACUUUAUUCACCACUUGUAUUCAAUGUGCUAAACUACAAAUCUUGGAUGAAUAGCGUUUUUCGAAACGAGAUUCUGAAAAGAAAGUACGAAAUUGCUGAACAACUCUUAGCAACGGAUAUCUUGGUUCUC
Molecule: unclassified non-coding RNA, 300 nt
Filed under: fungal sp.
Lineage: Eukaryota; Fungi
Description: partial internal transcribed spacer region
Rfam family: Eukaryotic small subunit ribosomal RNA (bases 1-46)
Source: RNAcentral